Molecule: ribosomal RNA, 497 nt
Filed under: uncultured bacterium
Lineage: Bacteria
Description: partial 16S ribosomal RNA
Rfam family: Bacterial small subunit ribosomal RNA
Source: RNAcentral
GAUGAACGCUGGCGGCGUGCCUAAUACAUGCAAGUCGAGCGAACAGAUGAGGAGCUUGCUCCUCUGACGUUAGCGGCGGACGGGUGAGUAACACGUGGAUAACCCACCUAUAAGACUGGGAUAACUUCGGGAAACCGGAGCUAAUACCGGAUAAUAUAUUGAACCGCAUGGUUCAAUAGUGAAAGACGGCUUUGCUGUCACUUAUAGAUGGAUCCGCGCCGCAUUAGCUAGUUGGUAGGGUAACGGCCUACCAAGGCAACGAUGCGUAGCCGACCUGAGAGGGGGAUCGGCCACCCUGGAACUUAAACACGGUCAAGACUCCUGCGAGACGCAGCAGUAGGGAAUGUGCGGCAAUGGGCGGAAACCUGGCGGAGCAACGCCGCGUGAGUGAUAAAGGUCUUCGGAUCGUAAAACUCUGUUAUUAGGGAAGAACAAAUGUGUAAGUAACUAUGCACGUCUUGACGGUAACUAAUCAGAAAGCCACGGCUAACUACGUG